This 253-nucleotide ribosomal RNA is filed under the name uncultured bacterium. RNAcentral's name for it is "partial 16S ribosomal RNA". It matches the Rfam family "Bacterial small subunit ribosomal RNA", at positions 524 to 776 of the family's 1533-position model. The record is from RNAcentral.
UACGUAGGUGGCAAGCGUUGUCCGGAUUUACUGGGCGUAAAGCGCGCGCAGGCGGCUGGCCAAGUCCGAUGUGAAAGCUUCCGGCUUAACUGGAAAACGGCAUCGGAUACUGGUCGGCUGGAAGGUGGGAGAGGCAAGCGGUACUUAGUGGGUAGGGGUAAAAUCCGUUGAUCCAUUGAAGACCACCAGUGGCGAAGGCGGCUUGCCAGAACGCGCUCGACGGUGAGGGAUGAAAGCUGGGGGAGCAAACCGG